UGGUGGGUUGCCUUGUCAGGUUGAUUCCGGUAACGAACGAGACCUCAGCCUGCUAACUAGUCACGCGUGCUCCGGCACGCGGCGGACUUCUUAGAGGGACUAUUGGCGAUUAGCCAGUGGAAGCAUGAGACAAUAACA
RNAcentral lists this ribosomal RNA (138 nucleotides) under uncultured eukaryote. RNAcentral's name for it is "partial 18S ribosomal RNA". It matches the Rfam family "Eukaryotic small subunit ribosomal RNA", at positions 1299 to 1458 of the family's 1831-position model. The record is from RNAcentral.